This 466-nucleotide ribosomal RNA is filed under the name uncultured bacterium. RNAcentral describes it as "partial 16S ribosomal RNA". It matches the Rfam family "Bacterial small subunit ribosomal RNA", at positions 28 to 507 of the family's 1533-position model. The record is from RNAcentral.
GACGAACGCUGGCGGCGCGCCUAACACAUGCAAGUCGAACGAGCGAGAGAGAGCUUGCUUUCUCGAGCGAGUGGCGAACGGGUGAGUAACGCGUGAGGAACCUGCCUCAAAGAGGGGGACAACAGUUGUAAACGACUGCUAAUACCGCAUAAGCCCACGGCUCGGCAUCGAGCAGGGGGAAAAGGAGCAAUCCGCUUUGAGAUGGCCUCGCGUCCGAUUAGCUAGUUGGUGGGGUAACGGCCCACCAAGGCGACGAUCGGUAGCCGGACUGAGAGGUUGAACGGCCACAUUGGGACUGAGACACGGCCCAGACUCCUACGGGAGGCAGCAGUGGGGAAUAUUGUACAAUGGGGGAAACCCUGAUGCAGCGACGCCGCGUGGAGGAAGAAGGUCUUCGGAUUGUAAACUCCUGUUGUUGGGGAAGAUAAUGACGGUACCCAACAAGGAAGUGACGGCUAACUACGUG